RNAcentral lists this ribosomal RNA (622 nucleotides) under Alexandrium catenella. RNAcentral's name for it is "LSU rRNA". It matches the Rfam family "Eukaryotic large subunit ribosomal RNA", at positions 23 to 671 of the family's 3401-position model. The record is from RNAcentral. Lineage: Eukaryota; Dinophyceae; Gonyaulacales; Pyrocystaceae.
ACCCGCUGAAUUUAAGCAUAUAAGUAAGUGGUGGAAAUUAAACCAACUGGGAUCUCUUCAGUAAUUGCGCAUGAACCAGGAUAUGCUUAGCUUGACAAAUGGAGCUGCUGGCUCUGAAUUGUAUUGUGGGAAUGUAUUACCAACAGAGGUGCAGGUCACACUCCUUGGCAUUGGAAUGCAAAGUGGGUGGUAAGUUUCAUGCAAAGGUAAAUAUGCAAUUGAGACUGAUAGCGCACAAGUACCAUGAGGGACAUAUGAAAAGGACUUUGAAAAGAGAAUUAAAUGAGUUUGUAUUUGCUAAACACAAAGUAAACAGACUUGAUUUCCUCAGUGAGAUUGUAGUGCUUGCUUAACAAUGGGUUUUGGCUGCAAGUGCAAUAAUUCUUGCUUUGUGUGCCCGUUUUUAUGUGGACAUUUGAUUACCUUUGCACAUGAAUGGUAAUUUUCCUGCGGGGUGUGGAUUGCAUAUGCAUGUAAUGAUUUGCAUGUUUGUUAAAUGUGUCUGGUGUAUUUGUUUGUGUCCUUGUCCUUGAGGUUGCUUUCUCCCUUGGGCUUACAUGCCCUGGCACACACAUUCUGGCAAAAUGCUUCUGCUUGACCCGUCUUGAAACACGGUCCAAGG